AAGUAAGUUAUUGUUUUUUGUUUUAUUAGGAACUUAAAUUUUGUAGUUAGAAAGAAAAGUUUAAUUGACGAUAGUUUAUAGUACUGUGAAGGAAUUUUAAAGAGGGUUUUAAAGAAAAGUAAAAGAUUUUGUACCUUUUGUAUUAGGGUUUAACUAUAAUUAGAAAGAUUUUUAUAUCCCGAAUAAUCUUGAGCUAUGGAAAGUGGUUUUAAUCGUUUUAAAGAUUAAAAGAAUUUUUUUAUAGAAAUGAAAUUUUAUUCGAAAGGUUGGUUAUCUGGUUAAGAUUGAAGAUUAGAUAUUUUUUUAUGAUUUGUGUUAUUGUAUAAGUUCAUAAGUUUUCUCUCUGGGAUAAGCUAGGGAAUUUUUUUUAUAUGAAUUUGUAAAAUUGAAUAAGGUUUAAAAUUUACUUUUUUUGUAAUAAAAAAUUUUUUAUUAGUUGUUUUUAAAAUUUGUGGAUUUUUCAAUUAAUUUGAAAUUGUGGGAAUUUAUGUUGAGAUUAGUAUAAUUGUUGGAAUUGAUUUUGAUUGAAUUUAUGAAUUAAAAGUUAAAAAACAAAAAAGAAUUCGGCAAAAAUUUUUUUGGAAUGUUUAUCAAAAACAUUGUAUCUUGAUAUUAUAAGAUAUAAAACCUGCUCAAUGAUGUGUUAAAUUGCUGUGGUAUUAUGACUAUACGAAGGUAUUGAAAUAAGACUUUAAUUGGGUGCUAAGAGAAUGGUUUAACAAAAAUAAGCUUUUUUUUUGCUUAUAUUAAAAGUUAAUUUAAAAAUGAGAAAGUUUUUAUGAAUUUUUAGGACAAGAAGACCCUAUGAAUUUUUUUAAAGACUUUUCUUUUUUGGUCUUUUAAAAAAAUUCAAGGAAAGUUUUUAAUUAAUUGGGGAGAUUUUUAAAUUUUUAAAAACUUUAAAAAUGUAUUAUUGGAUCCAAUAUUAUUGAUAUUUUAAAAAAAAUACUCUAGGGAUAACAGCGUUAUUACUUUGGAUAGUUCAUAUAGAUAAAGUAGAUUGCGACCUCGAUGUUGGAUUAGGAUACCUUUAUUAAUGAAGAAGUUAUAAGAGGAGGUUUGCUCAACCUUUAAAUUCCUACAUGAUCUGAGUUCAGACCGGCGUGAGCCAGGUUGGUUUCUAUCUAAAUUUUAUUUUUAGUUUUUUUAGUACGAAAGGAAUAAGGAACAAAAAUUAUUUUAUUAAAUUUUUGUGGUUUAAUGUUAAUA
This 1209-nucleotide ribosomal RNA is filed under the name Ornithodoros phacochoerus. RNAcentral describes it as "Ornithodoros sp. 3 BJM-2014 16S ribosomal RNA". The stretch from base 786 to 1129 matches the Rfam family "Archaeal large subunit ribosomal RNA", at positions 2151 to 2715 of the family's 2987-position model. Lineage: Eukaryota; Metazoa; Arthropoda; Arachnida; Ixodida; Argasidae. The record is from RNAcentral.